GACUCCUACGGGAGGCAGCAGUGGGGAAUAUUGGACAAUGGGCGCAAGCCUGAUCCAGCCAUGCCGCGUGUGUGAAGAAGGCCUUCGGGUUGUAAAGCACUUUUGUUGGGGAAGAAAAGCCAUGGGUUAAUACCCUGUGGUUCUGACGGUACCCAAAGAAUAAGCACCGGCUAACUUCGUGCCAGCAGCCGCGGUAAUACGAAGGGUGCAAGCGUUACUCGGAAUUACUGGGCGUAAAGCGUGCGUAGGUGGUUUGUUAAGUCCGAUGUGAAAGCCCCGGGCUCAACCUGGGAAUGGCAUUGGAUACUGGCAGUCUAGAGUGCGGUAGAGGGUAGUGGAAUUCCCGGUAUAGCAGUGAAAUGCGUAGAUAUCGGGAGGAACAUCCGUGGCGAAGGCGACUACCUGGACCAGCACUGACACUGAGGCACGAAAGCGUGGGGAGCAAACAGGAUUAGAUACCCUGGUAGUCCACGCCCUAAACGAUGCGAACUGGAUGUUGGGGACACUUAGGUCCUCAGUAUCGAAGCUAACGCGUUAAGUUCGCCGCCUGGGAAGUACGGUCGCAAGACUGAAACUCAAAUGAAUUGACGGGG
Molecule: ribosomal RNA, 593 nt
Filed under: uncultured Lysobacter sp.
Lineage: Bacteria; Pseudomonadati; Pseudomonadota; Gammaproteobacteria; Lysobacterales; Lysobacteraceae
Description: bacterial SSU rRNA
Rfam family: Bacterial small subunit ribosomal RNA
Source: RNAcentral